CUCCAGCUUCCCGCUGACCAUGCGGAAUCGCCCGUGGUUCUCGGGAAGACGGACGCCAGGAACUUCCGCUCGGCCUUCAGCCCAGACACGGCCAUCUUCCCUCAUCUCCGGCGGGAGGGGAGCAGGGCCCAGCCCCGUCAAGGUCUAACAAGCGCCAGUGUGAUGCUGGAUCUGCGAUUUCAUGGAGCCAUUCUUUGUGUAGCUGUGAGUCUAGGGCACAGUGUGUCGUUUUUAAAUUGUAAUUUAAAAACAA
Molecule: non-coding RNA, 253 nt
Organism: Oryctolagus cuniculus (rabbit)
Lineage: Eukaryota; Metazoa; Chordata; Mammalia; Lagomorpha; Leporidae
Source: RefSeq, a predicted model, not a curated record